Molecule: non-coding RNA, 249 nt
Organism: Vicia faba (fava bean)
Lineage: Eukaryota; Viridiplantae; Streptophyta; Magnoliopsida; Fabales; Fabaceae
Source: the annotation of a GenBank genome assembly
AUGGCUUCUUUAAAUCCAAAGCAAAAAACUUCUUCUCUCAUCAAAACAACAGUCAAGACUAAAUCCAAACAUAUUUACAAGCUAAAAAAAAUGAUAAGAAAACAAAAGAACCUGAAUCACUGUUUUAGAUCUAACGGCGCCGUUGGGGUGUUCGCGAGUGGCUUUGACCAGUCGAUGGAGGGCGGAGGUGCGGUCCGAACGCGAUUCGUUCUUCUUUCUCGUUUCAGAUCCAAACUUGCUUUGUUCUGA